GCAGCAAUGGUUCACUGGUUAAAGCAUUAGGCUUGAAAUCCAGUGAAGUCUCCCCAUGCAGGUUCAAACCCUGCUUGCUGGG
Molecule: transfer RNA, 82 nt
Filed under: Bos taurus (domestic cattle)
Lineage: Eukaryota; Metazoa; Chordata; Mammalia; Artiodactyla; Bovidae
Also listed under: 1 other name
Rfam family: tRNA
About the family: Transfer RNA (tRNA) molecules are approximately 80 nucleotides in length.
Source: Rfam by way of RNAcentral